UACGAAGGGGGCUAGCGUUGCUCGGAAUCACUGGGCGUAAAGCGCACGUAGGCGGCUUCUUAAGUCAGGGGUGAAAUCCUGGAGCUCAACUCCAGAACUGCCUUUGAUACUGAGGAGCUUGAGUCCGGGAGAGGUGAGUGGAACUGCGAGUGUAGAGGUGAAAUUCGUAGAUAUUCGCAAGAACACCAGUGGCGAAGGCGGCUCAUUGGCCCGGUACUGACGCUGAGGUGCGAAAGCGUGGGGAGCAAACAGG
This 253-nucleotide ribosomal RNA is filed under the name uncultured bacterium. Its description in RNAcentral is "partial 16S ribosomal RNA". It matches the Rfam family "Bacterial small subunit ribosomal RNA", at positions 524 to 776 of the family's 1533-position model. The record is from RNAcentral.